Molecule: long non-coding RNA, 503 nt
Organism: Pezoporus occidentalis (night parrot)
Lineage: Eukaryota; Metazoa; Chordata; Aves; Psittaciformes; Psittacidae
Exons: 4
Source: RefSeq, a predicted model, not a curated record
GGGCCCGCGCCUCAGCGGUGCCGGGCUGCACUUUCCGCGGUCUGAAGUUGCUCAAAGUCCCGCGAAGAAGUUUAGGAACGGACUUCUGCUCCCCGCCCGUGGGUCCCCGCCGAAGAACAGCGGCGGCCUCUGUGAAGUUGAGUUGUUCUGGCUCCUGAUGAUACUUUGAUCUUCGAUUUCAAUCUCUGAGUAAGCUGUGGCCAAGGCAAAUCCUUUCCUCUGUAGAAGAGGUCAUAGUUCUGCCUGCUCUUCAGCUGAAGGGUGGGAUAGUUAACCCAGAGAGUCCUCUAGCGGAAAUGAUGCUUGUACUGACUGAACAGCUGUUUUCCUGAUGGCAGAGUAUUGCACUUUUAUCUCCUACUGAAACACCCUCAGCUUAAUGAAAAGGUGAGAUAUUGCUGUCUACUACACCUACGUUUGACAGCUCCUACAGAUCUUUUACUCUGAAGAGGAGAUUGUGAACUGAUCUGUUUGAGAAAGAAGGCUUCAAAAAAAGAUUUUUC